Non-coding RNA from Stegodyphus mimosarum, 73 nucleotides. NCBI's taxonomy places the organism in Eukaryota, Metazoa, Arthropoda, Arachnida, Araneae, Eresidae. The record is from Rfam.
GCUUUCGUGGUGUAGUGGUCAGUACACUCGACAUGUAACCGAGAGGUCCGUGGUUCGAUUCCCGGCAAAGGCG